UUAGAGUUUGAUCCUGGCUCAGCGCGAACGCUGGCGGCGUGCCUAACACAUGCAAGUCGUGCGGAGGGGUGAUGAGCCCCUCAGCGGCAAACGGGUGAGUAACACGUGAGUAACCUGCCCUUGGGAAGGGGAUAACCCUCCGAAAGGAGGGCUAAUACCCUAUACUGCCGAGGACCACUAAGGUCUUCCGGUGAAAGGUGGCCUCUGCUCUGCAUGCUACAGCCCAAGGAGGGGCUCGCGGUCCAUCAGGUAGUUGGUGGGGUAACGGCCUACCAAGCCUAUGACGGGUAGCCGGCCUGAGAGGGUGGUCGGCCACAGUGGGACUGAGACACGGCCCACACCCCUACGGGGGGCAGCAGUGGGGAAUCGUGGGCAAUGGGCGAAAGCCUGACCCCGCGACGCCGCGUGGAGGAAGAAGCCCUUCGGGGUGUAAACUCCUGUCGGGGGGGACGAUGUGUCUUGGGGUGAAUAAUCCCAGGGCAUGACGGUACCCCCAGAGGAAGGGACGGCUAACUACGUGCCAGCAGCCGCGGUAAUACGUAGGUCCCGAGCGUUGCGCGAAUUCACUGGGCGUAAAGCGUCCGCAGCCGGACGGGUAAGCGGUGCGUCAAAGCCCACCGCCCAACGGUGGAACGGCGUACCGAACUGCCUGUCUUGAGG
Molecule: ribosomal RNA, 660 nt
Filed under: uncultured Thermocrinis sp.
Lineage: Bacteria; Pseudomonadati; Aquificota; Aquificia; Aquificales; Aquificaceae
Description: bacterial SSU rRNA
Rfam family: Bacterial small subunit ribosomal RNA
Source: RNAcentral